RNAcentral lists this long non-coding RNA (3589 nucleotides) under Mus musculus (house mouse). Its description in RNAcentral is "long non-coding RNA chr2:112383824-112387413". Lineage: Eukaryota; Metazoa; Chordata; Mammalia; Rodentia; Muridae. The record is from RNAcentral.
UUUUUUUUUUUUUUUUUUUUUUUUUGAGACAGGGUUUCUUUGUGUAGCCCUGGAAGUCACUCUGUAGACCAGGCUGGCCUUGAAUUUAGAAAUCCGCCUGCCUCUGCCUCCCAAGUGCUGGGUUAAAGGCUUGUACCACCACUGCCCGGCACUUUUUUUAAAAAAAAUAUUAAGUUUAUAUUUCAGAUGGCAAGCUUUCUGCUUCACUCUCUUUUCAAAAGAUUUUACUUUUUUUAAACUGUUGGUCAUGAAUCAAAGAGUAAAGGGCUAAUUUUGAGUUUUUGUUUUUUAAUGUACAGAUGACACAGUUUUACAAACUGAUUAUAACUCCCACCGUCACUUUUCCCAGGGGAAUGGGAAAUUAUUUUUAAAAUGUACAGUUCAUAAAGAAUGUCAUAAAAUAUACCAAUCAGUAUUGCUUUUUUAUCAUUCAUUUUGCUUGAUUGCUGUUGUGUAAGUAACAGCAAUCAAAACUAAUCUGUGAUUGUAAUUGUUAGUUUUUUGGUUGCUGUGACAAAUACCUGAGAAGCAAUUUAAGAAGAGAAAGGUGUGUGUGUGUGUGUGUGUGUGUGUGUGUGUGUGUGUGUGACAAAUACCUGAGAAACAAUUUAAGAAGAGAAAGGUGUGUCUGUCUGUCUGUCUGUCUGUCUGUCUGGAUUUGAGGUUUUAACUAAAGGUUGGCUGGAUUCAUAGCUUGGGUCUGAUGUAAGAGAACUGGCUGCUCUUCCAGAGGUCCUAAAUUCAAUUCCCAGCAACCACAUGGUAGCUCACAACCAUCUAUUAUGGGACCUAAUGUCCUCUUCUGGCAUGCAGAAGUACAUGCAGAUAGAGCACUCAUAUACAUAAGGUAAAUAAACCCUUUUUUAAAGAAGCCUUUAUUUAAAAUAAUUCAUUUAUCAGCCAUUUGACCAUAUCCAACUUUAAGGUUAGUAAGAGCCCAGGCUUGGUAGUACCUGAGAAUCUAGCACUUGGGAGGUGGGGACAGGAAAAUCAGCUCAAGGUCCUCUUUGGCUACAUAGCUACUUGGGGGCCAAUCUGGGCUACCUGAGACCUUGCCCCCCGCCCCCAAACAAGCAAACCCCAAAAGGAUGAUAAACCAACCUAUCAUUUAUCUGAGAGUUAAACUAACACUGUUCCAUGACACAAUUUAAUGUUUACCAUAUUUAGGAACUUAUAAUUUAACAUUUCCAAAUAUCUUUGAAUUUUCUUAGUGUUCUUUCUUGACUGAUCACUGUCUCAUUUUUGAGUGUAUUGUCCUGUGAGUAACCCACUUUCCACUGACUUGUGACUAAAAAUACAAGGAAGAUUUGUCAAAUUUAGAGAAUGGUGCAGUCCUUUAAAGUCUGGUUUGGUAUUAAACCCUGGGGAGUUUUUUGUUCUUAAGGAUAAACUUUGCUACUUUGAACUGGGAUGCAUAUGUCUGCUCUGUUCUAAUACUUUUAUAAUUAUGAAAGUAAACUUUACACAUUGAUAAAAAUUUAGUGAAAUAAUCAUUGAGAACCACAGGGCAAACCCUGUUCAAUAGAGGCUGUAAGAAGAUCUUAUACGCAACUAAGGAAUACUGAGAGUUAUGGAGUAUAGAUAGUAUGUAUAACAGCUCCCCUCCCCCAAUGAGCCCCUUAAUUGGUUAUUUGGUACCAAGUAGUUAGUCUUGAAAUCAUCUACAUCCAAGUAACACUACACAGACUAAAGCAAAUAGUUAAUAUAUUUAGAUGUGUAUAUGUAAAGGUGAUAAUGAUAAAAGAGGCCAGAAUUUGAAGAGGGCACAGCAUGAAAGGCUGGAGGAAGGAAAUGGUAUAAUUACACUUUAAUCCAAAGUUUAAAAGGACAAGGUUGUAAAGAACUUGCUUUAAACCUAUUUUCUAUUUCUUUUUCUUUUAAAAAAGAAAUUUAAAAACAUUUAUUUUGUGUGUCUGGGUAUUUUGUCUGCAUAUAUGUCUGCACCCCCCUGUGUGCCUGGUGGCCACAGGGGCCUUUGAAAGAGGGCUUUGGAUCUCUUGGGACUGGAGUUACAGAUGGUUGUGAGCUACCGUGGGGAAGCUGGGAAUUGAAUUCAAGUUCUCUAGAAAGGCAGCUAGUGCUGCACCGAGCCAUCUUUCCAGCUCCAUUUUGUAUUGCACAGUUUAACUUAACAGUUUCCUUGGUAGAGCGUGGUGAUCCAUAUGCUUCAGCCAUCAUUCAGGAGGUAGAAGCAGGAGGUCUCUGAGUUCCAAGCCAGCCUUGUCUACCAAGCAAGUUCAGAACCACCAGGGCUACAAUAGAGAUGUCUUGUCUCAAAGAAAAACAAGAAAACCAACAAAACAAACAAACAACUAAAUAAAAAAAAACCCAAAAGGCAGUUUUCUUGCCAAGCUCUUGGAUAGAUUUUCAGUAAUAUCAUCAUGCUAUACUUGAAUGACAGAAUUCCAUAACCAGAAAGGUUGGGAAGUUUAAAGCUAUGACCAGCAAUGAGGUAAGAAAGUUCUAGUUGCUGAGAAGAGGGGUUGGGGGAGAAACACUAUAUAACACCAAAAGUUCUUAGAAUGGCUUCAGAGUUUUUUUUUUUAUACAUUUAUUUAUUUAUUUGUUUGUUUGUUUGUUUGUUUAUUUGUAAGUCAGGGUUUCUGACUGUCCUGGAACUCACGUUGUAGGCCAGGCUGGCUUCAAACUCAGAGAUGUACCUGCCUCUGCCUCUGCCUCCCAAAUGCUGGGAUCAAAGGUGUGCUCCACUUCAAUCAACUUUUUAUAGUUAUUUUGUAUUCUUUCACGUGAUUUUUUUUAUCAUGGAAAAGUAGUUUAUUUUACUUAGUCCCUACACUACUACUGUGAAAAUAGCAAGUUAAGUAAGAUCAUGCAACUAAUAAACGACUGUAAUAGAAUUUAAAUUCAGUGACUCUGACUUUGGGAUUUUUUUUUUUUAAGACAAUUUCCUGCUCCCUGAGCCUGCUUCAUUGAGAUUACACUUGCCUGAUCUGUCCUGUAUUUGUAUUUCCUGCUCUACUGUAUUGCCUUUUCUUUUUAGCUUAGUAAUACAAGAAAAUUAUAACCUUACACUAUUUUUUUUUUGCAUUUAGUGUGUGUGCCCAUUUGUGUGCAUGCCAUGAUGCACCUGUAGGAUUCAAAGGAAAACUUGCAGGAGUUGCUUCUCUUUCCACUUACGAUGUCAUGUUUGGCAGCAAGCACUUUUAGCCAGCCCCCUCACUUAAUCUGGGAUUAGACUAAAAUUGUAUGUUUAUAUGUCAGUUUUUGAAGAUUAAAGGAAUGAUAAUACAGAAUCAUAUUUUAAGGGUGUAUAGCUCAGUAGAAGGGCACUUGCCUAGCAUGGGCUAUUUAUUUAGCACACAUAUUACGGGUGGCGAUAGUAAUUUCUACCUUUACUAAUAAGAGCCUGAUGUAGAAAAGUCUUUGUAGGAACAGCUAACAGUCCUUGCAUAUUUGCCAAGUUUAUUUUGUUGUGGAUUUAGUAAAUAUGACAGUUUAAAAUGGAGUUGCUGUUACAAAACAGAACAAGGAGUCACAGAUGGCCUAUAGUCCCAGCUCCUCUGGAGGCUGGGGCAAAAGGAGUGCAUAUUGGAUACAUUUCUCAAGAGGAAGUUAAAAAAAAAGAAGG